CUUUGAGCCUAUCGUGAUGAGCCUGAAUUGAACCACAUCUUGUCAAACAUGGAGGACUCUCCAUCUCACACCCAGUACAUAGGACCCGACGAUGUAACUAUGAAAGGAGAGAUAGCAGAGAUGAACAGCCAACACUAGCUCAGGACAACUAAGCACCUGACAGCCCACAGGAGAGUAAGAAAUGGGAAUACCUCCAUAUAACCUGUCAUGGACUUGGUAUCCU
This 223-nucleotide long non-coding RNA is filed under the name Homo sapiens (human). RNAcentral describes it as "HSALNT0262964". Lineage: Eukaryota; Metazoa; Chordata; Mammalia; Primates; Hominidae. The record is from RNAcentral.